Molecule: long non-coding RNA, 1272 nt
Organism: Cyprinus carpio (common carp)
Lineage: Eukaryota; Metazoa; Chordata; Actinopteri; Cypriniformes; Cyprinidae
Exons: 2
Source: RefSeq, a predicted model, not a curated record
UUCUAGUAACCCUUCAGACCUUGAUUAGCUUGUUCAGGUGUGUUUGAUUAGGGUUGAAGCAAAACUCUCCAGGACCGACAUUCAUCACCCCUGGUAUAUAGCAUAGCACAACAGUGUGUUGCUAAAUAGAAAAUGCUUUGUUAGUAGAGCAGAAGUUCAAAAAUCUACAGGGCCAUCCAGAACAGCAGGACAAAAUAUUUCUUGUUGAGCUGCUGUGACUGCUGGUCAUGUUGACAUCAUCAAACAGUUGAGAUUCAUUGGGCUCCUAUUUGUCAUAGUUAAAGAUCUGAAAAGAGUCCUGAGGUCACCCUGUCAUCUGGACACACAGCUGAAGGAGUGGCAGUGGAUCAAGGAGAGGGCUGUUAGCGAUUUUAGCGAACUUCUGUGCUGUGCUGCGAGUGUCUUGUUUCAUGUCUUCUAUCCACGUCUCCCCAUGAGACCGCAUCAAUCAGAGCACGGAUAUCCUGCUGAAAGUCACUCAAAUAUAGUUCUUUCCUGAUCCCACUUUUCAUUCCAAACUCUGAAAGGUUCGUCUGACUUCAGCACUUUCAUUCCAGCCAAAUUGAAGUUAAGUGGUCAUAAGUGGUGAAAGUGAAGAUAAAAUCAGCUCCAGAGUGCCACAGUAACAUUUACUAUCAGACACAAUAAAGACAUGUCAGUGAAAAUACAACGUCUGCCAACAGUUUUAAACUCAAUCUAGCAAAUGGAUGCUACAGCAGUUGUGUGCGUGACAUUAUUAGCCACUGGCGUUGUAUGUUCAGAUGAAUCUAUAAUUGGCUGGCUGGGUUCUGGAGUGAUGAGUCUUCUGUUGUCUUUGCACUAGAGAGAUGCUCUGUCUGGUUUGGAGACACAACCCUGUGGAACAUGAUGAGUUGUGUGAACGGCUGACUGGAUGCUCUGAGGGCAGCUGGCAUCACCAGUGGAUAUGGGUGUGUUUGCUCAGGCCAUGCUGUGUGUGUGUUUGUGAGGGGACGUGUGUGUUCAAUGAGAAGAAAUUUGCUCUGUUUAUUAGCUUUGCAACAUCAGCUGUGUGUUUCAUAACUUCAGUUUAAUCCAUGUUAAAUGACUUUCUGCAUGAUAUGUGGGGUGUGUGAAUUACUUUUCCCACCACAUACAGUAUAAGUAGGGUUGGUGAAUUUUCAGAUUUUAUCGACUGAUUCGAAUUUAAUGUUUUGCCAUGAUUUUAUUUUUCAUAAAUUGAGAAAUCACAAUUUUGAAUAGAAAUAUUACCAAACGUUAGAAUUAGACACUUUGACAAUAUGGCAAUGAUAA